UGAAAUAUUUAUUGUAUACAUUUACAAUUUUAAAUUAUUUUUAUUUCCAGCUUAGAUGGGCAUGCUGCAACUCUGACAGUUAUAAAUUGUAUCUGAGUAAUAUCUCUGUGAUAUUAAGAUUGGAUUUGCUUAAUAUUUCUUUCGAAAUAGAGUACGUUCGCCACAAUUGUGGCAAUCGUUUGCCAUUAAGGUUGGGGAAUUAAAGAUGAGUUCUUCGAUAUUGGACUCGAGUUUUGAUUAACGUUGAUCACCACAUUACUCAUCCUCCAGUGAAUCGGAGGUGAAACGAACGAUAUUUUGUCCUGUUUUUUGCUGUUAUUAGUGGUGAUAUUGGCUAUUGCGCUUUACCCAUUUUUAUUGUCUGAAUAUUUAUCAGCUUUAUUUAUUUAUUUUUUGGUUGAUUAUUUAUCAGCUUGAUUUAUUUAUUGGCUUAUUAUUUAUCAGCUUGAUUUAUUAAUUUUACAGUAAUCUUGAUUUUGGCAACUUUUUUUAGAUGGUUUCCUGGUACAUGGUUGUUUUUUUCCUUGGAGGAGUUGUGGAUAUCCGUUUCUUAGGUGUGGGUGAACGCUUUGGUCUUCUGCUUACUUUACGUUUCUUAGAUGCUGGUAAUCACUUCGGACUUGUGUGUUUUCACUUAUGCCUUCUUUUUUACCUUGGCGGGCCUUUGAAUAAACUGAGAUUGGGAUUUGAUGUGUAUGAAAAGUUAUGAUAGGGACUUAGUUGAAAUGCAGGGAAUGAGCUAAAUAAUUUAAGACAUAAAGAGGCAGGUGUGUAUUUUUUUUGUUUUUCUUUAAUAUUUUUAAGUUUUUUUUAAUUAUUUAAUUACCACUUUGUGUUGUGAAUUCAAGAAAUGAUACAACAAAUCAUGAUUCAUAAUAAUAUAUAACUGAGGAUAAAAAAAGCUGAUAAAUAUUUAGACAAUAAAGAUGGGUAAGGCUCAACAGCCAUUAUCCCCUCUAGUAACAGCAAGAAACAGGACAAAAUAUCGUUUGUCUCACCUCCGACUCACUCGAGGGGGAGUAAUGUGGUGGCGCUUUAUAAGUCAGACAACAACUACGAGACAUGAGUAAUUACUUCUGUCUUGUGGUCAUAUUACUCGGCUACAAAAAAAAACAUUGUGAGUUUGGUCCUCGCUAUAACCAAAUGCUACAGAGCUAAACUAAUCUUAAGACAUUAAGAGAUAUGAAAAUUGUAUAGCAAAGAUGGAGCUAAACUAAUCUUGAGACAUUGAUCUGGUGUG
Argiope bruennichi is the source of this 1240-nucleotide long non-coding RNA. RefSeq lists it as uncharacterized. The transcript has 3 exons. NCBI's taxonomy places the organism in Eukaryota, Metazoa, Arthropoda, Arachnida, Araneae, Araneidae. The record is from RefSeq and is a predicted model, not a curated record.